UGGAGCUGGGGGAUUUUGUGCAGCUGGCCUGAGAAACAGUUCCAGCACUUGAGUGUGAACCAGGAGGGAGCAUGAAGAGGAUGAAAGGUCCCUGAAGGGAAGCCAGAGUCUCUCAGACUACAAAGGAAUCUGGAAGGAUUUGAUAGCUGAGGCUUUUCUUGUCGCAAGAACAAAGGAUUUAUACUGAAAUGCAACUUUCUGAAGCUGAGCUCUACAUUUGGACUCCAUAAAGUAUUCUCUUAUGUAUUCUGAUAGCUGAAGAGCAAGCAUACGUUGUCUCUGGAUUGGGACUUUUGAUGAAGUCCUGGUGUGGAGCUUUGUUCCAAAUGGAACUGAAGGGGAUUUCUUCUAACUGUAACGUGGAUUUUCUCUGGGGUGCAAAUUCUGCUGUUCAACCAGUGCCAACGAAUAAGCUGUCAGAAGUUCAACACAGCAGAUUGCUUUUUUUUUUUUCUUUUUCCCCCUGUGUUCACAUGGGUGUACUACACAGUAUUGUAAAGUAAAUCCCUGGGCUGCUCCAACUAACGUGCUCCAGUUUCGUUGGCAUUUGGCCUACUAUUUCAGAAAGGAAAAUGUCACUUCUGACCUAAAUAAGAUUUUGCUUCUCAGAGGCUCUGGGGUGAAAACCUGCUUCCAGUUGAAACCUAGAGGCUGUGCUUGCAUGGAUUAGAGUGGAGUCAGCUCCAUGUUUUCAGUGUAACCGUGAGCCAA
Molecule: long non-coding RNA, 711 nt
Organism: Phasianus colchicus (ring-necked pheasant)
Lineage: Eukaryota; Metazoa; Chordata; Aves; Galliformes; Phasianidae
Source: RefSeq, a predicted model, not a curated record